This 520-nucleotide ribosomal RNA is filed under the name uncultured Glomus. RNAcentral describes it as "SSU rRNA". It matches the Rfam family "Eukaryotic small subunit ribosomal RNA", at positions 569 to 1093 of the family's 1831-position model. The record is from RNAcentral. Lineage: Eukaryota; Fungi; Glomeromycota; Glomeromycetes; Glomerales; Glomeraceae.
AGCAGCCGCGGUAAUUCCAGCUCCAAUAGCGUAUAUUAAAGUUGUUGCAGUUAAAAAGCUCGUAGUUGAAUUUCGGGGUUAGUAAGUUGGUCAUGCCUUCGGUAUGUACUGGCUUUACUGAUUCCUCCUUCUUGACGAACCGUGAUGUCAUUAAUUUGGUGUUGCGGGAAAUCAGGACUGUUACUUUGAAAAAAUUAGAGUGUUUAAAGCAGGCUAACGCUUGAAUACAUUAGCAUGGAAUAAUGAAAUAGGACGUUAAUCCUAUUUUGUUGGUUUCUAGGAUCGACGUAAUGAUUAAUAGGGAUAGUUGGGGGCAUUAGUAUUCAAUUGUCAGAGGUGAAAUUCUUGGAUUUAUUGAAGACUAACUACUGCGAAAGCAUUUGCCAAGGAUGUUUACAUUAAUCAAGAACGAAAGUUAGGGAUCGAAGACGAUCAGAUACCGUCGUAGUCUUAACCAUAAACUAUGCCGACUAGGGAUCGGAUGAUGUUAUUUUUAAUGUACUCAUUCGGCNCCGUUACG